This 253-nucleotide ribosomal RNA is filed under the name uncultured bacterium. RNAcentral's name for it is "partial 16S ribosomal RNA". It matches the Rfam family "Bacterial small subunit ribosomal RNA", at positions 524 to 776 of the family's 1533-position model. The record is from RNAcentral.
UACGUAGGUGGCAAGCGUUGUCCGGAUUUACUGGGCGUAAAGGGCGUGCAGGCGGUCUGUUUAGUCUAGGGUGAAAGCUCCCGGCUCAACUGGGAGAGGUCCUUGGAUACUGGCAGACUUGAGGGAGGUAGAGGAGAGUGGAAUUCCCGGUGUAGUGGUGAUAUGCGUAGAUAUCGGAAGGAACAUCAGUGGCGAAAGCGGCUUCCUGGACCAGCACCGACGUUCAGGCACGAAAGCGUGGGGAGCAAACAGG